Molecule: ribosomal RNA, 460 nt
Filed under: uncultured bacterium
Lineage: Bacteria
Description: partial 16S ribosomal RNA
Rfam family: Bacterial small subunit ribosomal RNA
Source: RNAcentral
CCUACGGGAGGCAGCAGUGAGGAAUAUUGGUCAAUGGCCGUAAGGCUGAACCAGCCAAGUCGCGUGAAGGAAGAAGGAUCUAUGGUUUGUAAACUUCUUUUAUAGGGGAAUAAAGGUAUCCACGUGUGGAUAUUUGCAUGUACCCUAUGAAUAAGCAUCGGCUAACUCCGUGCCAGCAGCCGCGGUAAUACGGAGGAUGCGAGCGUUAUCCGGAUUUAUUGGGUUUAAAGGGUGCGUAGGUUGUUUUUUAAGUCAGCGGUGAAAGUUUGUGGCUCAACCAUAAAAUUGCCGUUGAAACUGGAAGACGUGAGUGUGUUUGAGGUAGGCGGAAUGCGUGGUGUAGCGGUGAAAUGCAUAGAUAGCACGCAGAACUCCGAUUGCGAAGGCAGCUUACUAAGCCAUAACUGACACUGAAGCACGAAAGCGUGGGGAUCAAACAGGAUUAGAUACCCCAGUAGUC